UGUGACGUUCGGUGUGUGUGUAUUUCUUCAGCUCACUAAUUAAGGGGUUUCAUUAUGCGUUCGAUACCGUAGUAAUGUUAUCGUUUAUUUGUUUAACGACGUCCCUUACUGACUCAGAAUGCGGCGGUACUUACCGCCAUCUGCUCACAGUCGACUUCUGCCGCCGCCCCUCCUUCUCAUCACUUCGGUCACCGCAGUUCACUUGUGUUGCUGCCCGAAAAUCGAAGCGGGUAGACUGUCCAUGGUGGGAGGAAUGUCGAAUCCCUGCAUGUGUGUGAGUAGCGUAAACAAUCCCUAGAAUGGCGUCAACAUCUGGCAAGAGAGAGCAAACCAUUCAGAAUUGGACGUGCCCUUGUACCUCAGGCUAUUAUCCUGCUGCAUAAGCUAAUUGCACUUGAACUUCAGAUCACGGACUGACGGCCGCACUUUCUUCUUCAUUGCUUUCUGAAUUCAAGCUUCCCUCGUUUAUGUGUCAUGCAAAGGUGGAGGGGAUGCUGAUCCAGCAGAGGGCACCAGCACACAUCCACACCGUCACACCCUCACAUCGGGCUCAUUGAGAGUUGACACCAAAAACAAGCCAAGGGAUUGAGGAGAGGAAACUGAUGUCUGCAUCGAAAAUCCACACAGGAUAUGACGGG
Polypterus senegalus (gray bichir) is the source of this 638-nucleotide long non-coding RNA. RefSeq lists it as uncharacterized. Lineage: Eukaryota; Metazoa; Chordata; Cladistia; Polypteriformes; Polypteridae. The transcript is spliced from 4 exons. The record is from RefSeq and is a predicted model, not a curated record.